RNAcentral lists this transfer RNA (92 nucleotides) under Ameiurus melas (black bullhead). It matches the Rfam family "tRNA". Rfam says of the family: Transfer RNA (tRNA) molecules are approximately 80 nucleotides in length. Their secondary structure includes four short double-helical elements and three loops (D, anti-codon, and T loops). Further hydrogen bonds mediate the characteristic L-shaped molecular structure. tRNAs have two regions of fundamental functional importance: the anti-codon, which is responsible for specific mRNA codon recognition, and the 3' end, to which the tRNAs corresponding amino acid is attached (by aminoacyl-tRNA synthetases). tRNAs cope with the degeneracy of the genetic code in two manners: having more than one tRNA (with a specific anti-codon) for a particular amino acid; and 'wobble' base-pairing, i.e. permitting non-standard base-pairing at the 3rd anti-codon position. The record is from Rfam by way of RNAcentral. Lineage: Eukaryota; Metazoa; Chordata; Actinopteri; Siluriformes; Ictaluridae.
GGCUCCGUGGCGCAAUGGAUAGCGCAUUGGACUUCUAGGCAAGCACUAGCGAAGUGAUUCAAAGGUUGUGGGUUCGAGUCCCACCGGAGUCG